This 207-nucleotide ribosomal RNA is filed under the name uncultured bacterium. Its description in RNAcentral is "partial 16S ribosomal RNA". It matches the Rfam family "Bacterial small subunit ribosomal RNA", at positions 568 to 774 of the family's 1533-position model. The record is from RNAcentral.
CACGCAGGCGGAGGUUUAAGUCGGAUGUGAAAGCCCAGGGCUCAACCCUGGAACUGCGUUCGAAACUGGAUCUCUUGAAUACGAGAGAGGGAAGCGGAAUUUCCUGUGUAGCGGUGAAAUGCGUAGAUAUAGGAAGGAACACCAGUGGCGAAGGCGGCUACCUGGACCAACACUGACACUGAGGUGCGAAAGCGUGGGGAGCAAACA